GCCCUUAGAGUUUGAUCCUGGCUCAGGAUGAACGCUGGCGGCGUGUCUAAGGCAUGCAAGUAGAACGCCUGUAGCAAUACAGGAGUGGCAAACGGGUGCGUAACACAUUGGUAACCUACCUCGAAGUCGUGAAUAACUCCGCGAAAGCGGAGCUAAUACACGAUGGUCAAGAAAAGACGAAAGUCCUUUCUUGUAAAGAUUUAUCGCUUCGAGAGGGGCCUAUGCCCUAUCAGCUAGUUGGUGAGGUAAUGGCUCACCAAGGCUUUGACGGGUAGGGGGCGUAAGAGCGCGACCCCCCUCACUGGGACUGAGACACUGCCCAGACUCCUACGGGAGGCUGCAGUCGAGAAUAUUACUCAAUGCACGAAAGUGUGAAGGAGCGACGCCGCGUGCCAGAAGAAGCCCCUCGGGGUGUAAAUGGCUUUUUUCAGGGACGAAUUCUGACGGUACCUGAAGAAUAAGUGGUUGCUAACUCUGUGCCAGCAGCAGCGGUAAUACAGAGACCACGAGCGUCAUCCGGAUUUAUUGGGCGUAAAGCGUCCGCAGGUUGUUAUGAAAGUCAUUCGUGAAACCGUUGGGCUUAACCCAACGUGCGCGGGUGAUACUUCGUGGCUAGAGGCCGGGAGAGGCACAUGGAAUUGCUGGUGUAGCGGUAAAAUGCGUUAAUAUCAGCAAGAACACCAAAGGCGAAGGCAGUGUGCUAGAACGGUCCUGACACUCAGGGACGAAAGCGUGGGGAGCGAAUGAGAUUAGAUACCUCAGUAGUCCACGCCCUAAACGAUGAAUGCUAGAUAUCGGGAGUAUCGACCCUCUCGGUGUCGGUUAACCAAGCUAACGCGUUAAGCAUUCCGCCUACGAAGUACGGCCGCAAGGCUAAAACGCAAAGGAAUAGACGGGGACCCGCACAAGCGGUGGAGCAUGUGGUUUAAUUCGACGGUAAGCGAGAAACCUUACCCAGGCUCAACUACUAGCUGCAAGCUCUAUGAAAGUAGAGUUCCUUCGAGGGUGCUAGAUAGGUGCUGCAUGGUUGUCGUCAGCUCGUGCCGUAAGGUGUACCCUUCAGUGGGGUAACGAGCGCAACCCCUAGGCCGUGUUACAAGUGUCACGGCCGACUGCCUUCGUAAGAAGGAGGAAGGCGGGGAUGACGUCAAAUCAGCGUGGCUCUUACGUCUGGGGCGACACACAUGCUACAAUGGUCGGUACAACGGGUUGCCAAACCGCAAGGUGGAGCUAAUCCCUUAAAGCCGACCCCAGUUCGGAUUGAAGUCUGAAACUCGACUUCAUGAAGUCGGAAUCGCUAGUAACGGCGCAUCAGCCACGGCGCCGUGAAUACGUUCUCGGGUCUUGUACUCACCGCCCGUCAAGUCAAGGAAGUUGGUAACACCCGAACGUCGCCGUAGGGCGACGGAAGGUGGGACCAGUAACAGGGACUAAGUCGUAACAAGGUAACCAAGGG
Molecule: ribosomal RNA, 1456 nt
Filed under: uncultured bacterium
Lineage: Bacteria
Description: bacterial SSU rRNA
Rfam family: Bacterial small subunit ribosomal RNA
Source: RNAcentral